AUAUGAGACCUCUUCGACGAGUCGAGUUGUUUGGGAAUGCAGCUCAAAAUGGGUGGUAAAUUUCAUCUAAAGCUAAAUACCGGCUGGAGACCGAUAGCGCACAAGUAGAGUGAUCGAAAGAUGAAAAGCACUUUGGAAAGAGAGUCAAACAGUACGUGAAAUUGUUGAAAGGGAAGCGCUUGCGACCAGACCUGCCCGUAGGUGAUCAACCGCUGUUCUCAGCGGCGCACUCACCCUGCGAUCAGGCCAGCAUCGGUUUGGGCGGCCGGAUAAAGGCCCCGGGAAUGUAGCUCCGCUUCGGGGGAGUGUUAUAGCCCGAGGUGUCAUGCGGCCAGCCGAGACCGAGGACCGCGCUUCGGCUAGGAUGCUGGCGUAAUGGUCGCAAGCGACCCGUCUUGAAACACGGACCAAGGAGUCUAACAUCUAUGCGAGUGUUUGGGUGUCAAACCCAUGCGCGUAAUGAAAGUGAACGGAGGUGAGACCCCUUAAGGGCGCAUCAUCGACCGAUCCAGAUGUCUUCGGAUGGAUUUGAGUAGGAGCAUAGCUGUUGGGACCCGAAAGAUGGUGAACUAUGCCUGAAUAGGGUGAAGCCAGAGGAAACUCUGGUGGAGGCUCGCAGCGGUUCUGACGUGCAAAUCGAUCGUCAAAUUUGGGUAUAGGGGCGAAAGACUAAUCGAACCA
Molecule: ribosomal RNA, 681 nt
Filed under: Bulbothrix decurtata
Lineage: Eukaryota; Fungi; Ascomycota; Lecanoromycetes; Lecanorales; Parmeliaceae
Description: eukaryotic LSU rRNA
Rfam family: Eukaryotic large subunit ribosomal RNA
Source: RNAcentral